Subdoligranulum sp. 60_17 is the source of this 138-nucleotide non-coding RNA. Lineage: Bacteria; Bacillati; Bacillota; Clostridia; Eubacteriales; Oscillospiraceae. The record is from Rfam.
UAUACUAAUUAAGCUGUUUUUGAGACAGCAGGUGCCGCAAGGCAUAACGGGUUUUACCCCCCUGCCGAGAAACGUGCGUUUGAUUGCAAUGCUUUCAAGCCCUUUCCCGGCGACGGGAAGGGGCUUUUUUCUGUAUAU